AUGCUCAAAAGUAGCGCCACCCUUCAGAGCAGUGGAUUGCUGAAGGUUGAUGAAAUAGAUGGAAGUGGAGACAGCCUCGGCCCAAAAGUGCAAGGGAAGAGAGGUAGUGGCCAUCAACGGACGAGCUGUCUUAAGAAGGUGAUGAUGCUUACGCUCAACCAUGCCAUUCUGAGCAUGUGCACCUGGAUAAGAGAACCAAAUGCAAGAGUAUCUUGCUCAUCAAGGAUAUGCAACAACUUGGGAGAUAUACUCUCCACCAAAGUCAUCAAAGAACACACGAAUAGGCGUAGAGAACAGAAUAUGAACCGUGACAGCAAAACGCUUAUAGAUAAGACCUCACUACGAGAAGAAAUAAAGUAUAUCCAUGUGUCUGGGUCAAAGCUAUUUUUAGUGUUUGGGUCAAAUUAUUAUUUGCAAGAAGGGGUUAGAGUUUGCCUGAAAGACAAGAUUAUCAUUUGGGUUUGA
RNAcentral lists this ribosomal RNA (465 nucleotides) under Triticum aestivum (bread wheat). RNAcentral describes it as "partial small subunit ribosomal RNA". Lineage: Eukaryota; Viridiplantae; Streptophyta; Magnoliopsida; Poales; Poaceae. The record is from RNAcentral.